CGGAGCUUGCUCCACCGGGAAAAGAGGAGUGGCGAACGGGUGAGUAACACGUGGGUAACCUGCCCAUCAGAAGGGGAUAACACUUGGAAACAGGUGCUAAUACCGUAUAACAAUCGAAACCGCAUGGUUUCGUUUUGAAAGGCGCUUUACGGUGCCGCUGAUGGAUGGACCCGCGGUGCAUUAGCUAGUUGGUGAGGUAACGGCUCACCAAGGCCACGAUGCAUAGCCGACCUGAGAGGGUGAUCGGCCACAUUGGGACUGAGACACGGCCCAAACUCCUACGGGAGGCAGCAGUAGGGAAUCUUCGGCAAUGGACGAAAGUCUGACCGAGCAACGCCGCGUGAGUGAAGAAGGUUUUCGGAUCGUAAAACUCUGUUGUUAGAGAAGAACAAGGGUGAGAGUAACUGUUCACCCCUUGACGGUAUCUAACCAGAAAGCCACGGCUAACUACGUGCCAGCAGCCGCGGUAAUACGUAGGUGGCAAGCGUUGUCCGGAUUUAUUGGGCGUAAAGCGAGCGCAGGCGGUUUCUUAAGUCUGAUGUGAAAGCCCCCGGCUCAACCGGGGAGGGUCAUUGGAAACUGGGAGACUUGAGUGCAGAAGAGGAGAGUGGAAUUCCAUGUGUAGCGGUGAAAUGCGUAGAUAUAUGGAGGAACACCAGUGGCGAAGGCGGCUCUCUGGUCUGUAACUGACGCUGAGGCUCGAAAGCGUGGGGAGCAAACAGGAUUAGAUACCCUGGUAGUCCACGCCGUAAACGAUGAGUGCUAAGUGUUGGAGGGUUUCCGCCCUUCAGUGCUGCAGCUAACGCAUUAAGCACUCCGCCUGGGGAGUACGACCGCAAGGUUGAAACUCAAAGGAAUUGACGGGGGCCCGCACAAGCGGUGGAGCAUGUGGUUUAAUUCGAAGCAACGCGAAGAACCUUACCAGGUCUUGACAUCCUUUGACCACUCUAGAGAUAGAGCUUCCCCUUCGGGGGCAAAGUGACAGGUGGUGCAUGGUUGUCGUCAGCUCGUGUCGUGAGAUGUUGGGUUAAGUCCCGCAACGAGCGCAACCCUUAUUGUUAGUUGCCAUCAUUUAGUUGGGCACUCUAGCAAGACUGCCGGUGACAAACCGGAGGAAGGUGGGGAUGACGUCAAAUCAUCAUGCCCCUUAUGACCUGGGCUACACACGUGCUACAAUGGGAAGUACAACGAGUCGCGAAGUCGCGAGGCUAAGCUAAUCUCUUAAAGCUUCUCUCAGUUCGGAUUGUAGGCUGCAACUCGCCUACAUGAAGCCGGAAUCGCUAGUAAUCGCGGAUCAGCACGCCGCGGUGAAUACGUUCCCGGGCCUUGUACACACCGCCCGUCACACCACGAGAGUUUGUAACACCCGAAGUCGGUGAGGUAACCUUUUUGGAGCCAGCCGCCUAAGGUGGGAUAGAUGAUUGGGGUGAAGUCGUAACAAGGUAGCCGUAUCGGAAGGUGCGGCUGGAUCACCUCCUUUCUAAGGAA
RNAcentral lists this ribosomal RNA (1488 nucleotides) under Enterococcus mundtii. RNAcentral's name for it is "bacterial SSU rRNA". It matches the Rfam family "Bacterial small subunit ribosomal RNA". Lineage: Bacteria; Bacillati; Bacillota; Bacilli; Lactobacillales; Enterococcaceae. The record is from RNAcentral.